GAGAGGAAGGAGAGAGACUCGAAGGACCACAGCAACAUGAAAGAAGAAGGUGUCUCUUCCAGAGCAGCAGGGGUCUACAAGAUGCCUUGGACGGAAGUGCUUUGAUUGAAUGCUAGGUGUUUUAACUAUAGGGUCGAGUACACCAGCCACCUCCAGAACACCACUGAGUGCUCCAGAAGCUGCUAAGGAGGGUGCUACUUGACCCACUGGACUCUUCACACAGACGGCAAAAGCUUGAAGUUAAGGAGGCCAUGGUGCUUGCUGGCCUCUGCUGGGUGUCGCAGGGUUGCUGUUGAUAGGGUACGGCGAGUGGUCGUGAGCAAGCAUGGGAUGCAGAGCCACAGCCUGGCCUGAGCUGCCCUUCUCCACUGUCAGCUGACAGCAUAUCCUGCCUUUCAUGAACUCUUGUUUUGUAAGUGCUGCUACGUCUAUCAAUUUUUAAUAAAGAUAAUGCUAUCUUUG
This 462-nucleotide long non-coding RNA is filed under the name Rattus norvegicus (Norway rat). Its description in RNAcentral is "long non-coding RNA NONRATT002565". Lineage: Eukaryota; Metazoa; Chordata; Mammalia; Rodentia; Muridae. The record is from RNAcentral.